Molecule: long non-coding RNA, 771 nt
Filed under: Macaca mulatta (Rhesus monkey)
Lineage: Eukaryota; Metazoa; Chordata; Mammalia; Primates; Cercopithecidae
Description: lncRNA (ENSMMUG00000057697.1)
Source: RNAcentral
CUGAUCAUUCCUUUCUGGCCUGAGCCUUGGCAGUGCAUCCCGCGUGUGGUUCUGUGCCUGCUUGGAUUGGUUGGAUGUUGUUUCAAGAUGUCGUGCCAGUGUCAUGCUGGCCAGAGAUGAUCCUGACAACCAUCCCUGCUCCAGGUUAUAUCAGGAGCAUCCCGGUCUACACUAGGGUGCACCUGUUUGUGUCUGACUCUCUCCAGCUCCCAUCUGCUGACCACCAACUCUCCUCUUACCUCCUGCAUGACCUCCUUUGCUUUACAUGUUUCUGAGAUGACCAUCUGCUUAACAGCAUCAGAGCUGACAUUGAUCGGGCCCAACCUCGCCCCCCAUCAGAUGUGGAAAUUGAAUUUCUUCUGGAGUGUUCUUGCCCAAGGUUGUACCAUCUCUCCUAUAACACAGCCUCAGUUAUUUGAGAACCACACUGAGGCUCAGAACUCCGAUUUUUGUGUUCAGGGUGACUCCAGGAUAGUGCUUCUCUUUGUGAUGCUCUUGCAAUAACAACAUUCUUUUUGUUUUCCUUGAUCUUUCUCAGUCUGUGGAUAUUUCAGCUUGCAAGGUAAAAUAAUAUUUUUGCUCAAUGGCCAGUUUUUAAAAUCCUCCCUGGCUCUGCUAUGACACUACAUUAAACACACACACACACACACACACACACACACACACACACACACACACACAAUCUUUGUUUCCCAUUGGUUCUGCUUCGCAUUUCCUCUCUCUUCAGUUUUUCCUUAAUCUCUGUCCACAUUGACUUUGAUCCUUGAACUC